CUGACAGGCGACCGUCUGCUCAGAUACUGACCCCGGUACCUCGUACGGCCGGGGCAG
Molecule: regulatory RNA element, 57 nt
Organism: Streptomyces acidiscabies
Lineage: Bacteria; Bacillati; Actinomycetota; Actinomycetes; Kitasatosporales; Streptomycetaceae
Rfam family: L17-Actino-Proteobacteria ribosomal protein leader
Source: Rfam